AUUAUUGGUCCAUUGGUGGCCUUUGACAAAACUGUUUCUUUGGAACAGUGAGGGUGAAAAUCUCACUGGACUGGCUUCAAGAGAUAAUGAGAGGAGAUGAUUGGAAACAACGACUACAGUCAACUCUUUGCACAGGUGGAGGGAAUGAAAGGAAAGCUGCCGCAUCAUGUCAAGAAGCUGAUCAAUCAAGAAGCAAGGAGAUCCUGGCACCUUGACUAACUACAGACCCAUGCUGCCGACUCUGCCUGGAUCCCCAGAGCCACCACUGCUACUUCAGAAAGCUGGAGAAUCAAGAAGCUGCUGACUCUAGAACCAUGAUACUCUUGUCACUGUCUGUAAAACCAGAACAAUGCUU
Molecule: long non-coding RNA, 355 nt
Filed under: Homo sapiens (human)
Lineage: Eukaryota; Metazoa; Chordata; Mammalia; Primates; Hominidae
Description: non-protein coding lnc-RALGPS1-1:2
Source: RNAcentral